Molecule: ribosomal RNA, 561 nt
Filed under: uncultured bacterium
Lineage: Bacteria
Description: bacterial SSU rRNA
Rfam family: Bacterial small subunit ribosomal RNA
Source: RNAcentral
GAUUAAUUCGAUGCAACGCGAAAAACCUUACCUACCCUUGACAUGCCAGGAAGAUUCCAGAGAUGGGAUUGUGCCCGAAAGGGAACCUGGACACAGGUGCUGCAUGGCUGUCGUCAGCUCGUGUCGUGAGAUGUUGGGUUAAGUCCCGCAACGAGCGCAACCCUUGUCAUUAAUUGCCAUCAUUCAGUUGAGCACUUUAAUGAGACUGCCGGUGAUAAACCGGAGGAAGGUGGGGAUGACGUCAAGUCCUCAUGGCCCUUAUGGGUAGGGCUUCACACGUAAUACAAUGGUCGGUACAGAGGGUUGCCAACCCGCGAGGGGGAGCUAAUCUCAGAAAGCCGAUCGUAGUCCGGAUUGUAGUCUGCAACUCGACUACAUGAAGUCGGAAUCGCUAGUAAUCGCGGAUCAGCAUGUCGCGGUGAAUACGUUCCCGGGUCUUGUACACACCGCCCGUCACACCAUGGGAGUGGAAUCUGGCAGAAGUAGGUAGCCUAACCGCAAGGGGGGCGCUUACCACGCUGGGUUUCAUGACUGGGGUGAAGUCGUAACAAGGUAACCGUA